Molecule: small RNA, 17 nt
Filed under: Arabidopsis thaliana (thale cress)
Lineage: Eukaryota; Viridiplantae; Streptophyta; Magnoliopsida; Brassicales; Brassicaceae
Description: ATSL223000
Source: RNAcentral
UUUUGAGGAAGGAGAAG